This is a non-coding RNA of Picea glauca (white spruce), 1290 nucleotides long. NCBI's taxonomy places the organism in Eukaryota, Viridiplantae, Streptophyta, Pinopsida, Pinales, Pinaceae. The record is from Rfam.
AGUGAACGAUGUAUGGGGAAUCGAGACUAGUUUUUCUCCUCGGACGAGGUUUUUCUCAGCUACUAAAUGGGCUCCUGAUCAUCACCCUAAUUUGGUUUGUAAUGGAUGGGUGAGGGUGGAUUAAUUUGAAUGUUUAAAUAAAACAAAACAUUGUGAUGGUCCCUGCGGAUGCUAACACAAUGUGAUUUAUGCCCAGUGCUCUGCAUGUCAAAGUGAAGAAAUUCAACCAAGCAUGGGUAAAUGAUGGGAGUAACCAUGACUCUCUUAAGGUAUCCAUAUGCCUCGUCAUAUAAUUAGUGACACACCUGAAUGGAUUAAUGAUAUUCCCAUUGUCCCAGGAUACUAUCUAGAGAAACCACAACCAAGGGAAUGAUCUUGGAAAAAUUAGCAGGGAAAGAACACCCUGUUGAGCUUGACUCUAUUCCAACUUUGUGAAAUGACUUGAGAGGUGUAGAAUAACUAGGAGUUGUUUUCAACGCAAGUGAAAUACCAGUAAUUUUAACGUUAUUUUACUUAUUUUGUGGGGCAGACACGAGGCAUUGCACAUAUAUUAAAAUUUAAUGCACAUUUCCUCAAAGUGUUGUCAUUGAUAGCAAUGGUCGAAAGAUCAUUCUUCACAAAAUUGAUGGCAAUGAUUUUAGGAAACCAAAUAUUAUCAUUACUUUUAAGGAUGAAGAAAGUUCCUAUAACAAUCCCUGUGUUUUUAGCCAACAUCCCCCUAUAAUUAUAUAUGUUAUGGUUCCUCAUAAAUUGGUGACUUGAGUCCUCAUAGACUUAUACGUGAGUGGCUUAUGAUGACAAAUUAUUUGGCCCUUGAUAGCAAUUUAUUUUCCAUUAUGUGAGUGUGUCCAUCCUCAAGCUAUAGACACAUCGAAGCCAUGGAGUCCCAAUGAUUUUUAAUCAUUGCAAGAUAUAACCAUGCAAGAAUAAUUUUGGGGUAUUACCAUAAUCAAUUCAUCUUUGUAAACCACUUUUUGCUCAAAUGGACAUUAAUGGUCAAUUGGGAAUUUUUAUUUGAUUUGGAUGAGUAUAUUCCCAAUUGUUCUACAUAUUUCCCACACCAAUGUUUAAAUGUAUCUAUUGACAUGCUUGUGUUUUGGUGCACUUUUUCUCACAAAAAUGUGUGGGGCUAGGUGCAAGCACUACUACAUUUGUACCCAAAAUCUGACACAUUAAAUGGAAAACAUAUUGAACUCAUGAACCAUAUAUUCCCUAUUUAGGGCAUGUGUGAUGGCCUAAGGGACCACAUAUGUCCAUGAGAUUUUAGAGACAAAUUUUAUGAACUUAGAA